UUUUAGAACUAAAUUUACUGGCGCCAGAUCUCAUCUGAUCCCGGAAGCUAAGCAGGGUUGGGCCUGGUUAGCAUUUGGAUGGGAGACCGCCUUUGAAUACCGGGUACUGUAAGCU
Pteropus vampyrus (large flying fox) is the source of this 115-nucleotide ribosomal RNA. The record is from Ensembl. Lineage: Eukaryota; Metazoa; Chordata; Mammalia; Chiroptera; Pteropodidae.